Calliphora vicina (urban bluebottle blowfly) is the source of this 126-nucleotide small nuclear RNA. RefSeq annotates it as U4atac minor spliceosomal RNA. The record is from RefSeq and is a predicted model, not a curated record. The transcript has a single exon. Lineage: Eukaryota; Metazoa; Arthropoda; Insecta; Diptera; Calliphoridae.
UCCUUCCUUGUCAUGGGGAGCAUAAUACUCAAUGAACGUUUAGUGAGAGUAUUGAUGCUGACACCAUUGAUAUUUUAAAACCCCUAUACGUUUAAAGUAUUUUAAAUGUAUGGAAUUUUUGGACAG